AUGGAUGUGAAUGUCACUAAAGCCCUCGGUAUCUCCAGGAAUCCUCUUCGAAACUAUGAUACCUUCUCGAAGUUGCCAUUGAAAAUAUACGAGCAGUCGCCAGAGUUAUUCGAAACCCAGUUUGCUCGUUAUCCUGUCCUCAUGAUUGACCUUGGAGCUUUGUCCACUAAUUUCUAUCAAGAUUUCGUACGCUCUUUCAAAAUAAUGGUCGCGAAGCUUUUUGACCAAUUUCGGUAUUUGUUAAAGAGCAGCAGACUAGGGCAAAACAACAAGGAUAUAUUUAUACGCUUCAGGGACCGGUAUAAAGAACUGGAUAUAGAAGAGGUAGUGCGCGGCGGAGAGAGACUGGUUCAACUCUUGUCAGCACAUCAUCACCGAAAAUCAAUAGUUCUAGUUGAUAACUUUGACGUCCCCAUUCGCGCGGCUCUUUUGGCGCCUCACCUCAACGAGCAAAGUUUCAAGGGGAUCAAAUGGAGUGUUUCCCGAUUCGUCAAGUUACUCAUUAAAAGCAGUUUCGUCUUCAGGGCCGUGGUUACGGGUAACCUCAGACUGGAAAUCACAGACGAAUUGAUGCAUUUCUCCAUUUUCGAGGAUCCAUUUCUGCACCGGUAUUUCGGUCUUACGGAGGAUGAUAUUUCUGAGCUUGCAAUGCGAUUCGAUUACAAGAAACACAUCGCGGACGUCGAAAAUUGGUACGGCAACUACAAAACAACGCCCAAAGGGCGUAAACUCUACAACAGUCGCUCGGCGAUUAGCUACUUUAGAACAGGUGAGCUGAAGCCGUACCGAGAUGAGGCCUUUAAGUUCAAAGCUCUGAAAAACCUCCUAGAUUAUGCGAGGGCAGGUCGCGACAUAGAAGACGCCUUUGACAAUAACACACGGAUCUUUGUCCGGCAGAAGAUUCCAGCAAAGCAUCUCGAGGAUCUAAAACGAACAAUCGUCGACGCAAAUCAAACCGCCAUCGAUACGAAUUUAGUGCUACAAAUCCUCCUCGACCACGGUUUCUACGCAUUGGUUGACGAGAAUAAACUCUACGUGCCAAACAUUGAAGCUAUGUUAGAUAUCAAGACUCUUAUCUUCGACCGAACAUACUACAUCAACAAACUAAAUAUUACUGAUUAUGUAUUGAUACCUUCGUACAAAGCCUCGAGCAACUUACUAGUGAGGACGUGUCCUUCCGGAACUUUUCCAAUGCGGUCACAGCACUUUUCAAGUACCGCGUGCCGCGUGGUGCACGGGAAUUAGCGCACACCUUGCACACUCUAGCGGCCGACGCUCGGAAGUUCGAUCUGGUACGCGGUCUAGAGACCCCCUAUAGCAAACGGCAAGAUGUCCUUGUGAAACGGCGGAGGGACAUGGGGAUCAUCAUCGGGAUCACGGUGGAUCCACUUGAUUAUGAGGAGCUGAAAUCUGUUUUCUCAAGAGUUUCCAGGUGUUUCAGGAUUGCAAGGCAAAGGUUGGGAUCUUGCUGGGUUUGAAACGUCGCGGACUGCUCGCGGAUCUCGGAAUGAUGUACAAGUUUGACAAUCGCACCGUUGUGGACAACAGUGAGAACCAUCCCGAAGCGCAUGUCAUCGAUGAGGCCACAACAGGAAGAGAGAUAACUAAUGACAGGGCAUGACUUGGCGUCAUCUAUCCAUUCAACGACUUCUGUUUAGCAGAAAUUGGUCUUCCAAACUUGAGAAAUACGAGCACGUAUCGGUGCGAGAGGUGGCAAAGAUGGCGACGAUUGUAUUCCUGCUGUGUUUUUCUGACUUUGAACAUGCCGGCUCCUUCAAUUAUUUAUUUUUUAAAAAAGAAAUUGGGGCGUAAAUUUUGGGGUAUACUGCAAUCGAAAGUAUGUUUUUAGGGAUUUCAAACUCAAUUAUGCUUAUCAACAUUUGGUUUCAACCGUAAAAGUUUGCCAUCGAUUCCGAAGCUCCGUACUUAAAAAGUGAAGCUUUGAGGUUGGACACCACGACUAAAAUUUUCAAUUAGUGAGUGAGAUUUGCUAACAAUGGGUCAAAGUCUGUUACACAAUCGGGUUUUGACAUUUGCAGCUUGCAGAGCAGAGGAGCAGAAUUUUAAGGAAAACUGACAAAACCAAACUUGUCCGAGGUUUAGACGAUUCUCAUUUCCGUGGCUUCAUUAAUCAGUAAUAUUCAAUUAUUCACAUUUGGACAGGUUGCUUCACGGACACCAUUUAUGAAACCAAGGUCGAGGAAAUCAUGGUAUUCAUCACCGCGGUAGAUGACAUUCUUAGAAAUAUCCUGGAGAUUUCCCACUGCACUAAACGCACAAAAAUUGUGAUUCUUUCACUCUAAUAAUAUUCAAGCUUUGAUUAAAUCUAUCUCCGAGAUCUUGUAGCCUUUCUUUUUGGCGAAGAUUUUCUAUCACAUUUGCCAAAUUUUCAUCAAAUUUUCGUAAAAUGCGCUCAAACUUUGGAAAAUUUGAUUGAGGUUAUUCGCCAAAAGCAAAGGCUACAAGAUUGCAGUAAAAGUUCUAUUGGCACAAGUGUUAACUUUCCUCUUGGCACCCUGUCAAACUAGAAAGAGUUGGGGCAUAUGUUGAAAAAGUAAUGAAACAUAACCAGUAACCAUUUAACCCGGAAAAAUCAUUUUAUGUAUCUGUGCCGAUUAUUCUAUCCUUUUUCCUUGAAAAGACCUGAUAUAUGUAUAAUGGUAUAUCAUGCUUUCGAGCCAAAUAUAAUCUGAAUAUUACUAUCGUCAGUUAAUUAUCUCCUCCUUUAUGUUAUUUAAUACGUGUACUUAUUUGCAAAUUUAUAUCUUUAGUAGAAUCAUUCAAUUGUAUGACCGCUUAAAGUUUCAAUUAUUUACACAUUGUUUCAGUCUCAAAUAAAUGUAGGAAGUUCUUGCAUAAUUUAUUAUUAUAAAGUAUGAGAAGUCUCGAAAUACGAGCCUCCUGAAAGGAAGGAGAACACCUAUUAAGAAUAAACUACGAAGUAGCUUCACUUUUAAAAACGCCUUGGAAAGUGUAGCUAGGCAACUUCUGUUGUCUUAAGGUAUCGCCGGAUAGAGAUCCUUUUUGAAGGCAAUUUCAUAUCACCAUCGAACAAUGGGUCACUAAACCUUGUUUAUUUUAUUGAAUAUUCUGAAAGUACAAUGUGAGCAGAUAACGUGGUGAUUUUUCCGCAUUUUUAAGGAGCCGAAAUCGCGGAGAAAACCCGCUUUUGAAAAAUCUAAAAACUGCAAGACAUUUCAAACGCACCCGAAUGGCGGGAAACUGACGGUGUUGACGCACUGCGGUAGUCAUAUCGCAAUCUUCUCUCAUUUUCCUCUGAUG
Molecule: long non-coding RNA, 3282 nt
Filed under: Bemisia tabaci
Lineage: Eukaryota; Metazoa; Arthropoda; Insecta; Hemiptera; Aleyrodidae
Description: lncRNA ENSSSA3NGG013795
Source: RNAcentral